RNAcentral lists this ribosomal RNA (447 nucleotides) under Triticum aestivum (bread wheat). RNAcentral's name for it is "partial small subunit ribosomal RNA". Lineage: Eukaryota; Viridiplantae; Streptophyta; Magnoliopsida; Poales; Poaceae. The record is from RNAcentral.
AUGGUCCUUAGGGAUAUUAGGGAUCUGUUGCAAUCCAUGGGAAAGAAUAUUAAACACUAUGGACUUCCGGAUCUGGUUGACGCAGAUGGUUCUUUUGACGUUGAGAAUAGAGAGGUAACAGAGGAGAGAGAGGUCACGGUGGACCAAGAACAUCUAGAUCUAUUUAGUUGUUUGAACAAUGAGCAACUAGCUGGUUUCAAUGACAUAAUGGAGCAUGUGACGAACCAGAAAAGCCAGAUUUUCUUCGUUGAUGGCCCAGGAGGCACUGGGAAGACGUACCUGUACAAGGCAUUGCUUGCGAAGGUCCGUUCGAUGGGCCUAAUAGCGAUCGCAACUGCUACAUCAGGUAUUGCAGCAUCGAUAAUGCCUGGAGGUCGGACUGCACACUCCAGAUUCAAAAUUCCAAUCAAGCUGACUGACAACAGCAUGUGUAGCUUCACAAAGUAG